This 444-nucleotide ribosomal RNA is filed under the name uncultured bacterium. RNAcentral describes it as "partial 16S ribosomal RNA". It matches the Rfam family "Bacterial small subunit ribosomal RNA", at positions 354 to 796 of the family's 1533-position model. The record is from RNAcentral.
GUAGGGAAUAUUGGGCAAUGGUCGGAAGACUGACCCAGCCAUGCCGCGUGUAGGAAGACGGCCCUCUGGGUUGUAAACUGCUUUUAUCUGGGAAGAAAAAGGCCAUGCGUGGCAAAUUGCCGGUACCAGAUGAAUAAGCACCGGCUAACUCCGUGCCAGCAGCCGCGGUAAUACGGAGGGUGCGAGCGUUGUCCGGAUUUAUUGGGUUUAAAGGUUGCGUAGGCGGCUGAUUAAGUCAGCGGUGAAAGACUUCGGCUUAACCGGAGCAGUGCCGUUGAUACUGGUUGGCUUGAGUGUCGGAGGGGUACAUGGAAUGGAUGGUGUAGCGGUGAAAUGCAUAGAUACCAUCAGGAACACCGAUAGCGAAGGCAUUGUACUGGCCGACAACUGACGCUGAUGCACGAAAGUGUGGGGAUCGAACAGGAUUAGAUACCCCGGUAGUCC